ACGAACGCUGGCGGCGCGCCUCAUACAUGCAAGUCGAGCGUGAAGCGGGACUUCGGUCCCGUGGAAAGCGGCGAACGGGUGCGUAACACGUGAGCAACCUGCCCCGAAGACUGGGAUAACCCGGGGAAACCCGGGCUAAUACCGGAUGUCUUCUUCCGAUCGCAUGGUGGGAAGAGGAAAUGUUCAGGCGCUUCGGGAUGGGCUCGCGGUCUAUCAGCUUGUUGGUGGGGUAACGGCCUACCAAGGCGACGACGGAUAGUUGGUCUGAGAGGACGAUCAGCCACACUGGGACUGAGACACGGCCCAGACUCCUACGGGAGGCAGCAGUAGGGAAUCUUGCGCAAUGAGGGAAACCUUGACGCAGCGACGCCGCGUGCGGGAUGAAGGCCUUCGGGUUGUAAACCGCUUUCAGCAGGGACGAAAUUGACGGUACCUGCAGAAGAAGGCCCGGCCAACUACGU
RNAcentral lists this ribosomal RNA (461 nucleotides) under uncultured bacterium. RNAcentral's name for it is "bacterial SSU rRNA". It matches the Rfam family "Bacterial small subunit ribosomal RNA", at positions 29 to 506 of the family's 1533-position model. The record is from RNAcentral.